Molecule: long non-coding RNA, 897 nt
Filed under: Rattus norvegicus (Norway rat)
Lineage: Eukaryota; Metazoa; Chordata; Mammalia; Rodentia; Muridae
Description: long non-coding RNA NONRATT033012
Source: RNAcentral
AGCCAGCUCUUGGAUACUACUUUUUUUUUUUUUAUCUGUUUUAGGAAGUUUUUUUUAAAAAGAAAUUCCUUAAAUACUAGUGUUUUUAAGUUUUAGACAGCACAGAUGUAUACAGCAAGAUAGGUAUCUCAUCGACUUCUCCAUGUGUGUCACUGUAAUUAGGUUUCUACACCCCAUUGUCUGUCGCACCUUGGGAAGAGGGUCGCUGGAUCUGUGGUAGAUUCUCACUGCACAGUGACUGAACUGACCUGCAGGUCUCCAGGAACUCCGCAAGCGCACUCCGCAGGUUAGGGUUCUGAGAGCCUGAGUCCAGUCCAGAUGCAUUUGGACAUCUCUGCAUGGUGUGCCAAUGAGCAGAUUCCCUCAAGCACAGCCCUGUUCAGAAGCCUCAAGGACUGCUCUAUCUUGAAUCCAAUACUCCGGGGUCCUCAUUGGGGCUAAAUGUCUAACAUCCAUUCCUUCAAACUAAUGCUCUGGUAGCCACUCCAAGGAGUCAGUUUCAAGCCCUGUGUGGGAGAGACGUGGCCGUGGCUGGAAUGGGCCCUGCUUUCCACUAUCACAGCAACUCGGCUGAAACAUGAUUUUUCUGGACAGGUCGCCUCUUUCUUGGUAGCUCAAGUGCGAAAACUGAAUGACAGUAAUUGCCGUCGUUCCCAGCUCUGUGAUGGGGGCCUCAAGACUUGGCUGCGGAGGACACACGUAGACAGAGACAAGGCUAGGAACGGGCUUGAAGCGACUCCCAAAGUGGCAACAAUCCAGGUCCCAGCGACCGGGCCUAGCAUGGAUCUUCUGCAGGUGCCUCUGAGUCCUAGCACCAGGGUGACCCAUGUCCUUAAGCUGUUCACAGAGCACCUCAACCCUGGCUCACAGCCUGAAGAGGGCAGUGAGACCUCAAAC